GCCUGGGUGGCUCAGUCGGUUGAGCGUCUGACUUCAGCUCAGGUCAUGAUCUCACUGACUGUGAGUUCGAGUCCCGUGCCGGGCU
This is a non-coding RNA of Felis catus (domestic cat), 85 nucleotides long. The record is from Rfam. NCBI's taxonomy places the organism in Eukaryota, Metazoa, Chordata, Mammalia, Carnivora, Felidae.